This is a long non-coding RNA of Hibiscus syriacus, 249 nucleotides long. RefSeq lists it as uncharacterized. Lineage: Eukaryota; Viridiplantae; Streptophyta; Magnoliopsida; Malvales; Malvaceae. The record is from RefSeq and is a predicted model, not a curated record. The transcript is spliced from 3 exons.
UGGAAAGUAUGGAACUGUUUUGGACAGUGGUACAACAUUUGCGUAUCUACCAGAAGCAGCAUUUUUGGCAUUUAAGAAGCUAUCUUUAAAGAACUUAAUAGCUUGAAGCAGGUCCAUGGCCCUGAUCCAAAUUACAAUGAUAUAUGCUUCUCUACUUCGUGAUGUCUCUGAACUCUCAAAAACAUUUCCAAAAGUUGAAAUGGUAUUUGGACGUCAGCAAAAAUUAGCGCUAUCACCUGAGAAUUACUU